AUGGCGUGGAGCGGCGAGGGGAGGGACUGGGCCGCGGCGGACUCGGCGGCGGAGGGAGGAGCGCGGCUGCGGGCGGGCGGCGAGCGAGGCGCUCAAAGUCAGCCUCGCAGACAUUGCAGCAGAGCCCCGAACUCGGGAGGAGGCGGCGGCGGCGGCGGCGGCGGCGCGGCGGUGGCGGAGGAGGCGGAGGAGGCGGAGGAGGCGGAGGAGGCGGCGGCCGAGGCGGAGGGACGACCCGGCCCCAAGCCCUCCCUCCCGCCAGCGCACGCCUGCCGGUGGCCCCGCGGCCGCCACUGUGCUUGGCAGCACUGCUGCUCUGAGGGAAGAGCUCGCCGGGGCGCCGGGGAAGGACGGGGCGGCGGGGCGCCUUCGUGGAGUGAGCCUGACGGAACCCAGGCUCGGAGCCGCGGCGGCCUCGGGGAGCUUUUGGACUGUGAGCUAUUUCAGAACUCUGUUCUCAGGACCUGUUAUUUUAACAGUCAGGAGAAACACAUCCAGAAGGUGCACACUAGACCAAAAGAGGAACAGGGAAAUCUAAAGACUCCAGAUGACAUCAGCGCUACUUUUCAACAGCCUUCUCCAUUUCCUUUCUCAGAAGUAGAGACAGACCUCAGAGACAGAUGAACACUGCUAUUUGCAUUUAAUUGGAAACAAAAGAUGAAGAAGGAGAAGCAGUAUAUUCGCUAAGGAGUCUAUCUGCUUGCUGCUGCAGACCUAUGUAUUAAGGAAUUCUUUUGCUUCAUCUUGCAUAGGAGUUGAUCAGCUCUGUGGUCAGACUACUUUGGAAUUUGCCUGUCUUUCAUCUUGUUGUUGCCAGAGGAAAUCCUGGUUGGAAUGUAACAGGACAUCUCCGUCUGAUUACUAUGGAAG
This 870-nucleotide long non-coding RNA is filed under the name Zalophus californianus (California sea lion). Its description in RNAcentral is "lncRNA (ENSZCAG00015002442.1)". Lineage: Eukaryota; Metazoa; Chordata; Mammalia; Carnivora; Otariidae. The record is from RNAcentral.